CCUACGGGAGGCUGCAGUGAGGAAUAUUGGUCAAUGGACGAGAGUCUGAACCAGCCAAGUAGCGUGAAGGAUGACUGCCCUAUGGGUUGUAAACUUCUUUUAUAUGGGAAUAAAAUGUUCCACGUGUGGGAUUUUGUAUGUACCAAAUGAAUAAGGAUCGGCUAACUCCGUGCCAGCAGCCGCGGUAAUACGGAGGAGCCGAGCGUUAUCCGGAUUUAUUGGGUUUAAAGGGAGCGUAGGUGGAUUGUUAAGUCAGUUGUGAAAGUUUGCGGCUCAACCGUAAAAUUGCAGUUGAAACUGGCAGUCUUGAGUACAGUAGAGGUGGGCGGAAUUCGUGGUGUAGCGGUGAAAUGCUUAGAUAUCACGAAGAACUCCGAUUGCGAAGGCAGUUCACUGGACUGCAACUGACACUGAGGCUCGAAAGUGUGGGUAUCAAACAGGAUUAGAUACCCCUGUAGUC
Molecule: ribosomal RNA, 460 nt
Filed under: uncultured bacterium
Lineage: Bacteria
Description: partial 16S ribosomal RNA
Rfam family: Bacterial small subunit ribosomal RNA
Source: RNAcentral